AACGAACGCUGGCGGCAUGCCUAACACAUGCAAGUCGAACGAUCCCUUCGGGGAUAGUGGCGCACGGGUGCGUAACGCGUGGGAAUCUGCCCUUAGGUUCGGAAUAACUCAGAGAAAUUUGAGCUAAUACCGGAUAAUGUCUUCGGACCAAAGAUUUAUCGCCUUUGGAUGGGCCCGCGUUGGAUUAGCUAGUUGGUGGGGUAAAGGCCUACCAAGGCGACGAUCCAUAGCUGGUCUGAGAGGAUGAUCAGCCACACUGGGACUGAGACACGGCCCAGACCCCCCCGGGGGGCGGAGUGGGGGAAAUUUGGAAAAGGGGCGAAAGCCGGACCCCCCAAUGCCGGGGGGGGGAGGAAGGCCUUGGGGUUGUAAAGCUCUUUUCCCCGGGAUGAUAAUGCCAGUACCGGGAGAAAAAGCCCCGGCUAACUCCGG
Molecule: ribosomal RNA, 432 nt
Filed under: uncultured bacterium
Lineage: Bacteria
Description: partial 16S ribosomal RNA
Rfam family: Bacterial small subunit ribosomal RNA
Source: RNAcentral